GAUGAACGCUGGCGGCGUGCCUAAUACAUGCAAGUCGAGCGAACAGACGAGGAGCUUGCUCCUCUGACGUUAGCGGCGGACGGGUGAGUAACACGUGGAUAACCUACCUAUAAGACUGGGAUAACUUCGGGAAACCGGAGCUAAUACCGGAUAAUAUAUUGAACCGCAUGGUUCAAUAUUGAAAGACGGUCUUGCUGUCACUUAUAGAUGGAUCCGCGCCGCAUUAGCUAGUUGGUAAGGUAACGGCUUACCAAGGCAACGAUGCGUAGCCGACCUGAGAGGGUGAUCGGCCACACUGGAACUGAGACACGGUCCAGACUCCUACGGGAGGCAGCAGUGGGGAAUCUUCCGCAAUGGGCGAAAGCUUGACGGAGCAACGCCGCGUGAGUGAUGAAGGUCUUCGGAUCGUAAAACUCUGUUAUUAGGGAAGACCAAAUGUGUAAGUAAAUAUGCACGUCUUGACGGUACCUACUCAGAAAGCCACGGCUAACUACGUG
RNAcentral lists this ribosomal RNA (497 nucleotides) under uncultured bacterium. RNAcentral's name for it is "partial 16S ribosomal RNA". It matches the Rfam family "Bacterial small subunit ribosomal RNA", at positions 28 to 507 of the family's 1533-position model. The record is from RNAcentral.